GCUGGUUUAACAUUAAAAAAAUUAAUCAACGUUGUAUAGCCAUGUUCGUAGCAGCACUAGAAGCAAACCAAGAGUCCAUUCAUAGAUGAUUGUAAAAGCAAAAUGCAGAAUAUAAAUAUAAUAGGAUACUGUUCAGCCUUAAAAAGAAAGGAAAUUCUGUCUAGCCAGAGAGAUUAGGCAAGAAAUGGAAAUAAAAGGGAUAACAAUUAAAAAGGAAGAAGUCAAAUUAUCACUAUAUGCAGAUGAUAUGACCCGGUAUCUAGAAGAUCCAAAAAUUUCAUCAAAAGACUGUUAGAGCUAAUAAACAAAUAUGGUGAAGCAGCAGGUUACAAAAUCAACAUUCAAAAAUCAAUAGCUUUCCUAUAUACCAAUAACGAAUCUGCUGAAAAAGAAAUCAGGAAAAUAAUUCCAUUCACAAUAAUCUCAAAGAAAAAAAUCUAGGAAUAAAUCUAACCAAGGAGGUGAAAGACCUCUAUAGUAAAACCUAUAGAAUAAUGAAGAAAGAAAUUGAAGAUCUCAAAAGAUGGAAAGAACUCUAUGUUCAUGGAUAAGCAAAAUCAAUAUUGUUAAAAUGGUCAUACUAUAAAAACAAAUGUACAAAUUCAAUGCAAUCACCAUCAAAAUACCAAUGAAAUACUUCACAUUCAUAGAUAAAUAAUCCUAAAAUCCAGAAUAAAAGACCCAGAAUAGCCAAAGCAAUUUUAAGCCAAAAGAGCAAAGCUGGAGACAGCAUACUACCUGAUUUCAAAUACAGAGCUAUAGUAACAAAAACUGCAUGUAUGGGCAUAAAAACUGACACAUAGACCAAUGAUACAGAAUAGAAGACACAGAGACAAAUCCACACAGAUAGAGUUAUCGAGUCAUUGACAAAGAUGCCAAAAACAUACAUUAGAGAAAAGAUAGCCUUUUAUACAAAUGGUGCCAGACAACUGGUUUUCCAUAUGUGGAAGAAUGAAACUAGAUUUUCAUCUCUCACCUUGCACAAAA
Molecule: long non-coding RNA, 987 nt
Filed under: Marmota monax (woodchuck)
Lineage: Eukaryota; Metazoa; Chordata; Mammalia; Rodentia; Sciuridae
Source: RNAcentral